GUGAGGUGGCUGCAGCUUACAACAAGCAACACGUCCUGGCAGCAAAGGGAAGGUGACGCUCCAACAAGCAAGCAUCAGCCCACACACGGUCCAGAGUAGCUGAAGGUGUCUCGGCCUGCACACAUUAACGGGUUUCACGCUUCUAGCUUGGAGAAUCCAGCAGCGUUGAUGAAGAGCUUCACACAUCCAGCCUUCACGGCCCAGCAGCUUGGACAUUCUCUGCCACAUCUCCACAUCGUCUAGCUUUGGAGCAGCUUACACGUCCAGCAAGGGGCUGCAAAGGAAAACUCCAUUAUGGGCUUGAAGUAGGUUGAUUAACGUCCAACACGGCCUGGGAAGCAUUGCUUCGUGGUGCACACAGCAGCUUUGAGACACAGCCUUCACGGCCUAGUCCAGCAUCGAGAAGGGCAUCAAGCUGCAGUAACACUGAGGAGAGGGAGGAUCCUUUAAAAAGGGCAUUGUUACAUUGGCGAGGGGGACACAGCCGACAGAGGGGGACUAUGGACUGUGGACGGAUUUUCUCUGGAAACAUGGUUUUAUUAGGUGAUUUUUGAUGAAUGAGAAGAGAGAGCUCACAGCCUUACGGAGCUUCCAGCAGCCACACUCAUUUCCUUUUCUUUUAGGCUUUUUCUUUAAACGUUUUUUUGAGAGGAGGGUUUGGAAAAAUUACACUGCUUUGCAUUGGUUGAAUGAAAUGUGCACAGUUACUCUUUCUUUUGAUUUUUGGUGAAAGCUGGAAUGUUUUCUUUUGUUUCUUAAUUGGAAGAAAACAGCGCGCGGUCUGUAUCAAGGAAAAUUUUGGAAACACAAAUUGGGACAUUGGGAUGGAGACAAAAUAAAUUCAAAACUCUCCACAAAAGAAGUGUGGACAACAAGAAGGGCACUAUGGUGAUUUUACCCUUUGAUGAAAAGGGGUGCAACAUGUUGAAUUGAGGGGUGCAAUCGGAUGCUGGGAUUUCAUAUUGCCGCUUAUUCCAUUUAAAUAGAAAGGGCCUGAAGGUGUCACGGCCUGACACAUGUCUAGCAAGGCUGCAACACUGGUUCAUUAAAAUAGAAGGAGCAAUGGCACAUGGAAAACAGUCAAUAAGUUCAAGAGAUGAACCAAAAGCAACAGAGUCUCACGGAUGCACACUAUCAGUGUUUCUCUCAAGUGUCUAGGUAAAUUAAUGUCACUCGAUGCACUCAAGAAAGCACACACAAACAGACUUGGCAAGCCUCCAAUAUCAACACUCACACACAUGUGCAUGUUCAAAUUAAAAGGUUUUUUCAUGGUUGUAACGGGGCCAAGGAUAAGGGAGGAUACAUCUAGAUAAGAAGAGCCUUCACAAGAGCAGCGACCUUCAUUUCUUCAUACGCCUACCAGCUGCACACGUCCAGCAAUAUCUUCAUACGGCCCAUGGGAAAUAGUUAAGAAAUUGACCCAAGUGUACAAGGGCAACAGUGAUCCAAGGGCUGAAACUCAUGCUCCUACUGCUGCACAAGUUGGCUUUAAUUUGAAUAUUUAAGAGAAAAAAAUAGUGUGGUGUGUCACGGUCCAGGCCUACACGUGAAUGGAGAAAACACAACAAAGUCCAGCAGCCUUGAUAAUAAUAUUCAGCAGCUUGAAAACAAUUGGAGGUGCACGGCCUGCAAACUGAAGCAUCAUACAUCCAUCUUCACGGGCCUGAACAUGUCCAGCGUUCCACACGCUCCAGCAACGUUCCCAGCAGCUUGGGUUGUUCAUCCGGCAACUUCCAGAAAUGCUUGGGAAGUGGUCUAAUUCAUCCAGCCUUGAGAGGUGGUGCAGUUGAAGCAUCACGGCCCAUGGCAACCAGCUACAGCAUGUGAUGGACUGAAGAAAAGCUGCACCCGAGGUAGCAAACAGCAGCACGUCACACAACUGAUUAUGGCCCAAACAGCUAGUCCAACAACCUCUUUACGGAGCAACACAUCACGGACUUGAGUGAAAGGGAAGCAACAUCCAGUGUGGGCUGAUUCAUCAAGCAGGCUGCUCAUCCAUGAAGUCACAUGUGUGCUUAAGUAUUUGGGAAACCAGCCACAAAGGAGGGUGCAGCUGCCACACCUCUUCUUCACAGCCCAGCUGUAGAGAGUCCAGUAAUGUAGGGUAGGUUGGAAUAAAAAGAGCAAUCGUCACAGGCCCAUACUUGGCAAACAUCCACGAGGCUUUGGAGUAGCAUGUCUCGGCCUGUUUCAGGAGCAGCAGCAUGUCACCAUCCUUUAACUAGCAGCAACUUUCAGGCUAAGGCAGCAUAUGCACUUGGGCUUGCGAAAGCAACUCAUUUUCAUUUUAAGCAGGAAGGGUGUCACGACCCAGCAUCAAAUAGAGAACUUCCAGCAGCUUUGGAGCAUCUCCAACUGUCCAACAUCACUUGAACAAGCAAAAAGGUUGCAACAAGCUGAUUCAAAUUAAAGCGAGGGCCUUAGAUAAUUUACUUGCAAGUCCAGCAGCUUGGGAUGUCCUGUAGCACGAAGCACACGUCCAGCAAAAGGCAUGAUGGGUUGAUUCAUGGGCUAACAAUCAACUGUGCACAUCAUGGAGAGAAGGAGGUGCACGCUCAAGAGCUAGAGCAGCAGCACCCCACGAGCAGUUGCAGCCCACACGAGAAGAUGUUGCUGUUACGGCCCAUGGCAGCUUUUGGAGAAGAAAGCAGCAUGCUAGCAGGUGUGUGCUUGGAUUAUUUGGUGCAGCAGCGUGUGUGAUCUUGAGCCGGGGGUUGUUUCAUUUGAGGGGUGCUGGCUGGAGAAGGAAAAGAAGCACGUGGCCCAACACUUGAAGCAGCAAGUAGGGCACCUCGGGAUUGCUGGAGGGGGGCUGCCACACACAGUUAAAAAAAAGAAGGAGGACUGUUACAUUGAGGGGGGCUGGAACAGGAGCACGUUGUUGCAGCCACCACACACUCAUUUUCGUUUCUUUGAAGAUUUAGGGACACGGUUGAGCUCUAGGGGGUUGUCAUUAUUUUCUUUACUUUCUGCUUGAACUGAGAAGAGAUUUUUAAUUUCAAAAGUCUUUUCAUUUAAAUAUAUUCCACUUGGUAAUGAUUUGCAUUC
Molecule: long non-coding RNA, 3048 nt
Organism: Vigna radiata var. radiata (mung bean)
Lineage: Eukaryota; Viridiplantae; Streptophyta; Magnoliopsida; Fabales; Fabaceae
Exons: 2
Source: RefSeq, a predicted model, not a curated record